AUAAGGUUAAGUUAAUAAGGGCGCACGGUGGAUGCCUUGGCACUAGAAGCCGAAGAAGGACGUGACAAACGACGAAAUGCUUUGGGGAGCUGUAAGUAAGCGCUGAUCCAGAGAUGUCCGAAUGGGGGAACCCACUAACUAAUGGUUAGUAUCCAUAACUGUUAAGGUUAUGAGAAGGAAGACGCAGUGAACUGAAACAUCUAAGUAGCUGCAGGAAGAGAAAGCAAACGCGAUUGCCUUAGUAGCGGCGAGCGAAACGGCAGGAGGGCAAACCGAAGUGUUUACACUUCGGGGUUGUAGGACUGCGACGUGGGACUUUAAAAGGAUAGAAGAAUUACCUGGGAAGGUAAGCCAAAGAGAGUAAAAGCCUCGUAUUUAAAAUUCUUUUGAGCCCUAGCAGUAUCCUGAGUACGGCGAGACACGUGAAAUCUCGUUGGAAUCUGGGAGGACCAUCUCCCAACCCUAAAUACUCUCUAGUGACCGAUAGUGAACCAGUAC
RNAcentral lists this ribosomal RNA (498 nucleotides) under Escherichia coli. Its description in RNAcentral is "bacterial LSU rRNA". It matches the Rfam family "Bacterial large subunit ribosomal RNA", at positions 1 to 501 of the family's 2925-position model. Lineage: Bacteria; Pseudomonadati; Pseudomonadota; Gammaproteobacteria; Enterobacterales; Enterobacteriaceae. The record is from RNAcentral.